CUACCUGGAAGCUGGUCCCAGAGCCCUCCGGACUCUUGGUUCUUUGAGGAAGAAUUACUGGAGGUUAUUUUUCACUGUUCCCUUAGUAAGGUAUGUGGUGGUAACUGCAAUUCAACAUUACAUAACAUUGCUUACAUGACAUUAUUUAC
RNAcentral lists this long non-coding RNA (149 nucleotides) under Struthio camelus australis. Its description in RNAcentral is "lncRNA (ENSSCUG00000003153.1)". The record is from RNAcentral. Lineage: Eukaryota; Metazoa; Chordata; Aves; Struthioniformes; Struthionidae.